UGGAUAACCUACCUAUAAGACUGGGAUAACUUCGGGAAACCGGAGCUAAUACCGGAUAAUAUAUUGAACCGCAUGGUUCAAUAGUGAAAGACGGUUUUGCUGUCACUUAUAGAUGGAUCCGCGCCGCAUUAGCUAGUUGGUAAGGUAACGGCUUACCAAGGCAACGAUGCGUAGCCGACCUGAGAGGGUGAUCGGCCACACUGGAACUGAGACACGGUCCAGACUCCUACGGGAGGCAGCAGC
RNAcentral lists this ribosomal RNA (243 nucleotides) under uncultured Staphylococcus sp. RNAcentral describes it as "partial 16S ribosomal RNA". It matches the Rfam family "Bacterial small subunit ribosomal RNA", at positions 118 to 355 of the family's 1533-position model. Lineage: Bacteria; Bacillati; Bacillota; Bacilli; Caryophanales; Staphylococcaceae. The record is from RNAcentral.